GUGGAAUAUCAGGAUAAAAACACCUACAGCUGUGUGCUGAACAAUCCCAUCAGCAACCAGACCACACAUCUGGACAUCAACACACUCUGCAGACACACAUGUGCAGAUCAAGGCCUACCUUUAUUGUUCAUAGUGUUGAUCUCUGCUGGAUCUCUGAUGAUUGUUGUUAUAAUUGUGAUUUUCUGCAUCUGCAAGAAAUGUAGAAAAACAGUCCAAACCCAGGAGAAAGACAAAACUGAUUCAGCAUCGAGUAAACCAACAACACAACAACAGAGAUCGAAGACGGAGUCUGUGUAUGAAAAUGUCCCCAAAAAACGAUGAUCAAAUACCAGAGCUCAUACGGGGAAAUUGCUCACAUUUUUGUUUUUAGUUACAUUUAUUCUUGUACAGGAAGUCUUUGUUUCGCACAAAUGUUGUUAUUGUAUUGUUUAAAACGUUGUUGCUCUAUAAUGAAUAUCAUCCAGAAACUCAACUAAAAGGUUAUAUUUCAGUCUUCUUAUCACUAUGUAAAUGUAUCUAACUUUAAUUAUUAAACAUUGGUCCACAUGUCUGGUUUACUAUAUUUGUGGGGACUCUUCAUAUAUGAUGUUUUUUUUUUGUACUGUACAAACUGUAUAUUCUCCCUCCUUGCUCUAACUCCACCCCUAAACAUACCUUUCACACAGACAAACAAUGCAAACAAGUCUCUCUAAGAAGAGCGCUUUUUUAAUUAAUCUUACAUGUUUUGAUUAUUUUAAUUUCUUUAUGUAAAACACUUUGAAUUACCAUUGUGUAUGAAAUGUGCUAUAAAUAAACUUGCCUUGCCUCUUUUCACCGAUAGGGUGCGCUAUAA
Pimephales promelas (fathead minnow) is the source of this 832-nucleotide non-coding RNA. The record is from RefSeq and is a predicted model, not a curated record. Lineage: Eukaryota; Metazoa; Chordata; Actinopteri; Cypriniformes; Leuciscidae.